GAUGAACGCUGGCGGCGUGCCUAAUACAUGCAAGUCGAGCGAACAGACGAGGAGCUUGCUCCUCUGACGUUAGCGGCGGACGGGUGAGUAACACGUGGAUAACCGACCUAUAAGACUGGGAUAACUUCGGGAAACCGGAGCUAAUACCGGAAAAUAUAUUGAACCGCAUGGUGCAAUAGAGAAAGAUGGUUUUGCUGUCACUUAUAGAUGGAUCCGCGCCGCCUUAGCUAGUUGGUAAGGUAACGGCUUACCAAGGAAACGAGGCGUAAACGACCUGAGAGAGUGGUCGGCCACACUGGAACUGAGACACGGUCCAGACUCCUGCGGGAGGCCGCAGUAGGGAAUCUUCCGCACUGGGCGAAAGCCUGACGGAGCAACGCCGCGCGAGUGAUGAAGGUCUUCGGAUCGUAAAACUCUGUUAUUAGGGAAGAACAAAUGUGUAAGUAACUAUGCACGUCUUGACGGUACCUAAUCAGAAAGCCACGGCUAACUACGUG
RNAcentral lists this ribosomal RNA (497 nucleotides) under uncultured bacterium. Its description in RNAcentral is "partial 16S ribosomal RNA". It matches the Rfam family "Bacterial small subunit ribosomal RNA", at positions 28 to 507 of the family's 1533-position model. The record is from RNAcentral.